UCCUACGGGAGGCAGCAGUGGGGAUCCUACGGCAGGCAGCAGUGGCGAAUAUUAGACAAUCGGCGAGAGCCUGAUCCACCCAUGCUGCGUGAGUGAUGAAGGCCCUAGGGUUGUAAAGCUAUCUUUUGCGGGAAGAUAAUGACGGUACCUCAAGAAUAAGCCCCGGCUAACUUCGUGCCAGCAGCCGCGGUAAUACGAAGGGGGCUAGCGUUGCUCGGAAUCACUGGGCGUAAAGGGUGCGUAGGCGGGUUUCUAAGUCAGAGGUGAAAGCCUGGAGCUCAACUCCAGAACUGCCUUUGAUACUGGAAGUCUUGAGUUCGGGAGAGGUGAGUGGAACUGCGAGUGUAGAGGUGAAAUUCGUAGAUAUUGGCAGGAACACCAUUGUCGAAGGCGGCUCAAUGACCCGAUACUGACGCUGACGCAUGAACGCAUGCUGAGCAUACAAGAUUAAAUACCCUGGUAGAACCUCGAUUAGAUACCCUGGUAGA
Molecule: ribosomal RNA, 488 nt
Filed under: uncultured Rhodopseudomonas sp.
Lineage: Bacteria; Pseudomonadati; Pseudomonadota; Alphaproteobacteria; Hyphomicrobiales; Nitrobacteraceae
Description: bacterial SSU rRNA
Rfam family: Bacterial small subunit ribosomal RNA
Source: RNAcentral